GUGGCAGAACUGCACUGUUCCCGAAGGCCCAUAGAAACUGAAGGACAUCACAUCACAUCACACACUGCUGACGCGUUUGUGUUUUCAGCACCUUGGACAGCGGCCAAACAGAAGCGCACGCCGCUGAGUAAGUGCGAGAGGUUCUCCUGCUGCUGCACUGCCAUUGGUCAGAUUUUCCGAGGUCGUGUGACUCAUAACGGAGCCAGAAGGCAGAAACACAGUGAUGAGCUCAACCGUGACUGAACUGGGCUGAUCAGACAGACUGAGCUGCACCUGCAUCCGAACCACAGCAGCCAUUUGUGGACCGAGACGUUCCCUCUGCAACCAGCACUUUGUUUUUGAACCGUUUCCCCCAGGUUUCUGUUUAUUUGCCUGGCUCCAGCCGAGCCUUGCCCUCUGGUGGCUUACGACACAAUAGGAGAAUUCAAACAGCCAACGGUGAUACUCCAGGGCAGCGCAGCAGCUAUGCAGCUUGAAAUCCAAGUAGCACUCAACUUCAUCAUUUCGUACUUGUACAACAAGCUGCCCAGGCGACGUGUCAACAUCUUCGGCGAGGAGUUAGAGCGACAGCUGAAACAGAAAUACGAGGGACACUGGUACCCGGACAAGCCAUACAAAGGGUCUGGAUUCAGGUGUAUACACGUUGGG
This is a non-coding RNA of Danio rerio (zebrafish), 648 nucleotides long. Lineage: Eukaryota; Metazoa; Chordata; Actinopteri; Cypriniformes; Danionidae. The record is from Ensembl.